Molecule: small nucleolar RNA, 92 nt
Filed under: Theobroma cacao (cacao)
Lineage: Eukaryota; Viridiplantae; Streptophyta; Magnoliopsida; Malvales; Malvaceae
Source: RNAcentral
ACUUGGCCAUGAGGAUUUAUAUACAGCUUUUAAUGCCAGUUCUGCUUCAGAAAAUUCUUGAUUGAGAAGCUGUUUUACAUUCUGAGCCUCUC